Molecule: non-coding RNA, 66 nt
Organism: Schizosaccharomyces pombe (fission yeast)
Lineage: Eukaryota; Fungi; Ascomycota; Schizosaccharomycetes; Schizosaccharomycetales; Schizosaccharomycetaceae
Source: the annotation of a GenBank genome assembly
AUGAGAAGAGCAAUUCAACUGCGUUUUAAGUCACGUCAAUAAUAUGAGAAAUACUAACUGACAAUA